UUUCCGUGGAUCGACUAUUUUGCUGAACCUUCUUCGUCUCUCUAUUAUUACUUACCAAAACUAAGAUUACAUGAUUUCUAUCAGAGAUAAUGAUUCUAAGCUUGAUAAAUCCAACAAUUCUCCUCUGUCUAUCUAUCUGCUCUUUUUACUCUUCCUCUCUCUAAAUAUUUUGUUGUUGUUUUUACUGCUACAUUCUAAUAUGAAUCUGAUUGAAAAAAAAAACUUCCUUCGCAGGAGACCCAAAAUCCCUUUUCUUCAGAAAACCCUAACUUUCUCUCUCGAAGAUCAAAAUGAUAAACUUAAUUUUUCCAGUUUCAUACUUGUUACAACUAGCAUUCCAUGGUAACAGAAGUCAUUAGUGAAAAGUUAGAAAUCAGUGAAAUGUUUUGGUUGGAUGCUAUUCUUCCAUUAGGAAUUAUAGUUAAUUCUCCGUAUCACUUCUUGUUAGAAUUUCUUAAUCCCGAUCUUUAUUUAAACAUCACGAAUAAUUGGGGGUUUUGUUGUUCGCAGAUUUGGGUUUGAUGUUGAAGUUGUUUCUUACAAGGAUAGGUCAUGGUUCAAAUUGUAACAAUCCCACUUGAUGCAAUGCCAGAGUUUGUUUAAGGAAAUUUGAGCUUUAAAAGAGAAUUUUUCACUGUUGCUCGAGCAUCAACACUCUCUUGACAGGUUUUGCUUUGUUAAUCUUUCAAUUUCAAGUGAAGUUGCUGAAGUUAUUUCAAUCUCUCAAUUUCAUUGAAUCUCAGAUUCAUUGUUACCUGUAGUCUUUCUUCAAUACAUCUAAGUAGCAUUGGAAGGAUAAUCUCUUGUAGCGAAAACUGUGACUACUGUCGAAAGUUGCCAUUUAUUUGAAUCUCAAGAAGGCCUAUGCAGAAAGGUGAAGAUAUGGGAAAAGCUUAUGUAUGCCUUUUGUACUGAAAGCUGGAUCUUAAAUUAAUCUACAAAGUCUAAAUCCAGUGCUACGAAGACACCAAGAUGAUGAAGUUAUUCCCUGAAAUUGUUCGAAACCUCUGCUUGCAGAAGAUACAAUUAUUCAUUGGUUUUGCUAAGGAUUAAUCCCCAAGGGAAGACAAAGAUUUGAGAAAGCUCUGGAACUCAAUGUUUAACUGGCUGGAGGAGGCAGGAGAUGGUGCUGACAAUGGAUGUUAUUCAAGCCUGGAGGAGGCAGUGCUGUAGAGGACAGAUUACACUGGUCAUAACUACACAUUACACUGGUCAGAACUACAGAUUUUAAUCUUUUGUGUAAUUUGAAACCAAUGAAUCAAUGAAUGUUAAAUUGAAUGAUUAUUUGUGUGCAAGUUUAAUUUGACUCUUA
This is a long non-coding RNA of Papaver somniferum (opium poppy), 1312 nucleotides long. RefSeq lists it as uncharacterized. The record is from RefSeq and is a predicted model, not a curated record. Lineage: Eukaryota; Viridiplantae; Streptophyta; Magnoliopsida; Ranunculales; Papaveraceae. The transcript is spliced from 8 exons.